Molecule: ribosomal RNA, 143 nt
Filed under: uncultured eukaryote
Lineage: Eukaryota
Description: partial 18S ribosomal RNA
Rfam family: Eukaryotic small subunit ribosomal RNA
Source: RNAcentral
UGGUGGAGUGAUCUGUCUGGUUAAUUCCGUUAACGAACGAGACCUUAACCUGCUAAAUAGUUGACUGAAACAUUCGUGUUUUGUAGUUUGACUUCUUAGAGGGACUUUGCGUGUUUAACGCAAGGAAGUUUGAGGCAAUAACA